AUGGGGCAAAUAAUAUACCGUUGCCUCGUGUCUCAAAUGAUCUUAGAGAAGAGAUUUAGCCAGUCAGCAGCAUUUGUUGCCUUCACUCUGAUGGAAUAUGGUGGUGUUCCUCGGUACUCCACUCCAGAAUCUCUUUUGAAAAAAGCUCUCCAUGUCAUAGGUUGUGGCUACGAGGACAAGUCUGAAGGGGAACGAAGGUAG
RNAcentral lists this ribosomal RNA (201 nucleotides) under Triticum aestivum (bread wheat). Its description in RNAcentral is "partial small subunit ribosomal RNA". Lineage: Eukaryota; Viridiplantae; Streptophyta; Magnoliopsida; Poales; Poaceae. The record is from RNAcentral.